GAGCCUACGGGAGGCAGCAGUGGGGAAUAUUGCACAAUGGGGGAAACCCUGAUGCAGCAACGCCGCGUGAGUGAAGAAGUAUUUCGGUAUGUAAAGCUCUAUCAGCAGGGAAGAAGAUGACGGUACCUGACCAAGAAGCCCCGGCUAACUACGUGACAGCAGCCGCGGUAAUACGUAGGGGGCAAGCGUUAUCCGGAUUUACUGGGUGUAAAGGGAGCGCAGACGGCAGUGCAAGUCUGGAGUGAAAGCCCGGGGACCA
This 259-nucleotide ribosomal RNA is filed under the name uncultured bacterium. Its description in RNAcentral is "partial 16S ribosomal RNA". It matches the Rfam family "Bacterial small subunit ribosomal RNA", at positions 335 to 611 of the family's 1533-position model. The record is from RNAcentral.